UACAGAGGGUGCAAGCGUUGUUCGGAAUUAUUGGGCGUAAAGCGCGUGUAGGCGGCUUUGCAAGUCGGGUGUGAAAGCCCUCAGCUCAACUGAGGAAGUGCGCCCGAAACUGCAGAGCUUGAGUGCCGGAGAGGGUGGCGGAAUUCCCCAAGUAGAGGUGAAAUUCGUAGAUAUGGGGAGGAACACCGGUGGCGAAGGCGGCCACCUGGACGGCAACUGACGCUGAGACGCGAAAGCGUGGGGAGCGAACAGG
This 253-nucleotide ribosomal RNA is filed under the name uncultured bacterium. RNAcentral describes it as "partial 16S ribosomal RNA". It matches the Rfam family "Bacterial small subunit ribosomal RNA", at positions 524 to 776 of the family's 1533-position model. The record is from RNAcentral.